Molecule: ribosomal RNA, 372 nt
Filed under: uncultured organism
Description: bacterial SSU rRNA
Rfam family: Bacterial small subunit ribosomal RNA
Source: RNAcentral
CAGAGGGUGCAAACGUUGUUCGGAAUUACUGGGCGUAAAGCGCGUGUAGGCGGUUAUGCAAGUCGGGUGUGAAAGCCCAGGGCUCAACCCUGGAAGUGCAUUCGAUACUGCGUAGCUAGAGUACUGGAGAGGAAGGUGGAACUCUCGGUGUAGAGGUGAAAUUCGUAGAUAUCGAGAAGAACACCGGUGGCGAAGGCGGCCAUCUGGACAGAUACUGACGCUGAGACGCGAAAGCGUGGGGAGCAAACAGGAUUAGAUACCCUGGUAGUCCACGCCGUAAACGAUGGGUGCUAGGUGUCACGGGUAUUGACCCCUGUGGUGCCGAAGCUAACGCAUUAAGCACCCCGCCUGGGAAGUACGGCCGCAAGGCUA